AUUAAGCCAUGCAUGUCUAAGUAUAGUUACUAUACAGCGAAACUGCGAAUGGCUCAUUAAACCAGUUAUAAUCUAUUUGGUGCUUUUUUUACAUGGAUAACCGUGGGAAACUAGGGCUAAUACAUGCACAACCUUUGGUGUAUUUAUUAGUUUCAAAUCAAUAUCAUUUUGAGGAAUCAUAAUAACUGAUCGAAGCGAAUUUUCGCUAAAUCAUUCGAGUUUCUGCCCUAUCAGCUCUGGUUGGUAGUGUAUUGGACUACCAUGGCAGUAACGGGUAGCGGAGAAUUAGGGUUCGAUUCCGGAGAGGGGGCCUGAGAAAUGGCCACCAUUUCUAUGGAAGGCAGCAGGCGCGUAAAUUACCCAAUCCUGACUCAGGGAGGUAGUUAAUAGAUAUAACAAAUUCGUACCACAUCGGUACUGAAU
Molecule: ribosomal RNA, 423 nt
Filed under: uncultured eukaryote
Lineage: Eukaryota
Description: SSU rRNA
Rfam family: Eukaryotic small subunit ribosomal RNA
Source: RNAcentral